This 484-nucleotide ribosomal RNA is filed under the name uncultured bacterium. RNAcentral describes it as "partial 16S ribosomal RNA". It matches the Rfam family "Bacterial small subunit ribosomal RNA", at positions 30 to 507 of the family's 1533-position model. The record is from RNAcentral.
AUUGAACGCUGGCGGCAGGCCUAACACAUGCAAGUCGAGCGGAUGAAGGGAGCUUGCUCCUGGAUUCAGCGGCGGACGGGUGAGUAAUGCCUAGGAAUCUGCCUGGUAGUGGGGGAUAACGUCCGGAAACGGGCGCUAAUACCGCAUACGUCCUGAGGGAGAAAGUGGGGGAUCUUCGGACCUCACGCUAUCAGAUGAGCCUAGGUCGGAUUAGCUAGUUGGUGGGGUAAAGGCUUACCAAGGCGACGAUCCGUAACUGGUCUGAGAGGAUGAUCAGUCACACUGGAACUGAGACACGGUCCAGACUCCUACGGGAGGCAGCAGUGGGGAAUAUUGGACAAUGGGCGAAAGCCUGAUCCAGCCAUGCCGCGUGUGUGAAGAAGGUCUUCGGAUUGUAAAGCACUUUAAGUUGGGAGGAAGGGCAGUAAGUUAAUCCCUUGCUGUUUUGACGUUACCAACAGAAUAAGCACCGGCUAACUUCGUG